Rhineura floridana is the source of this 1357-nucleotide long non-coding RNA. RefSeq lists it as uncharacterized. NCBI's taxonomy places the organism in Eukaryota, Metazoa, Chordata, Lepidosauria, Squamata, Rhineuridae. The transcript is spliced from 3 exons. The record is from RefSeq and is a predicted model, not a curated record.
GGGCUUAAUUCCUAGAAAUUCUGCUUGGGGCUGCAGCACUGAAAUCUGUUGCAGCUGUUACUGACAAAUAUUAACCUGCCCACCUGGGCCAAAACCACUACUCCAAGAAGCUAUACAGUGCUGGUAUAACAGAGGGAGGUAACAACUGCUGGAAAACAAGUGUGAUCACACCUGCAGAAGGUGCCUCAACAAUCAUCUCCAGUUGUCUAUUAAAAGGAAAAGAAAACUCCAUCACGCCCCAUCUUUCAUCUGGCUUUAAAAGGUGCUGUGCAUGUGAAAGCCAUGACAAGCAGCUACAAAGAGGUGAAAGCGAUAAACCUCAGGACUUUUUUAAAAAGCGAACUCUGUUCCUGCUCAUAUGCAUGUGGACUCCAUGAUUUCAUGUUUAGGUUUCUCUCUCUCUGGCCUGGAUAAGCUGGGAAGCCUGGGGCUGGAUUUCAAGUCUUUGCAGUAACCACAGCCCAUGAAGAGAGAGAGAGGAGGAGGAGAAGACUUACACGAAGGAAGGGAGGAAUGAGAGAAUAAAUAUUUUUAUUUUCAAAAAAUGCCUUGCGGUUGUUACUUUUUUUUAAAAAAAGACAAACCUUUAUGGAUGUAACUCGCUGUUAAACAACGCAGAACUACAACUCAGCGCAACAAUUGCAACUCGAGAGAUGUCACCCUCUAACAGGCUAGCUGUGCUUGCAACCCUUGGCGGGCAGAGGCGAUUAAUGCAACAUAAACAGCAGCUCCCCUCCACCACCAGCACCGUCGUCCUCCUCCUCGGGCGAAAUCCCUGAUUAGGGGUGGGCGGGGGUCUUUAGAAGUGGGGAAUGGAGAGAAGGGGCCGACCCCUCGCUGCCGUUACCGGGGGGGGAGCAGCAACAAAGAGUUCAAGCCCCAAAAGCCACACGCGACUUUUUUUUUAUUUUGCAACUGUGUAUCUCGCCACACUGGGCUUAAAAAAAAAGCCACAAAUCUCUGCGAAGAAGCACAACAGGGGAAAAGGAGCCAUGAUAUUCAGUCAGCCCCAAACUCGGAAGCUUUCCUUUUUCGAUUUCGCUCACUUUCACAGACAGACACACACGCACACACGUGCUCCCUUCCUCCUUGAUCCGCAACAGGGAAUGGUACAAGAGCUCUGGGGCGCUUGAAAGUUUACUGUUGGGGGGAGGGGGCGCGGCGGCGGCCGGCUGAUCCCCAAAACUCUCAUCUGUUCACGCUUCCUUUGGGGACUUUCCGAAGACCAGCUCUGGCUCAAAUGAUAAAAGGUUCCAACCGGGAGGGGGGAAAGGGGGUGUCCCGACCGGAGGCCCCCUGGCUCCUCUCUCCCUUCCCACCAGCUCCCUCCUUCCACAUCAGCCUCUACUUUUUCCUC